Molecule: ribosomal RNA, 426 nt
Filed under: uncultured bacterium
Lineage: Bacteria
Description: bacterial SSU rRNA
Rfam family: Bacterial small subunit ribosomal RNA
Source: RNAcentral
GUGAGGAAUUUUCCGCAAUGGGCGAAAGCCUGACGGAGCAAUGCCGCGUGAAGGAUGAAGGCCUAUGGGUUGUAAACUUCUUUUCUCAGAAAAGAAUUAUGACGGUAUCUGAGGAAUAAGCAUCGGCUAACUCUGUGCCAGCAGCCGCGGUAAGACAGAGGAUGCAAGCGUUAUCCGGAAUGAUUGGGCGUAAAGCGUCUGUAGGUUGUUUAAAAAGUAUUCUGUCAAAGAUUAGGGCUUAACCCUAGAUAGGCAGAAUAAACUUUUAAGCUAGAGUGUGGUAGAGGCAGAGGGAAUUCCCGGUGGAGCGGUGAAAUGCGUAGAUAUCGGGAGGAACACCAAAGGCGAAGGCACUCUGCUGGGCCAAUACUAACACUGAGAGACGAAAGCGAGGGGAGCAAAUGGGAUUAGAAACCCCUGUAGUCC